GGAUUAGAUACCCUGGUAGUCCACGCUGUAAACGAUGAUUACUAGGUGUGGGGGGUCUGACCCCUUCCGUGCCGGAGUUAACACAAUAAGUAAUCCACCUGGGGAGUACGGCCGCAAGGUUGAAACUCAAAGGAAUUGACGGGGGCCCGCACAAGCAGUGGAGUAUGUGGUUUAAUUCGAAGCAACGCGAAGAACCUUACCAGGUCUUGACAUCCAACUAACGAAGUAGAGAUACAUUAGGUGCCCUUCGGGGAAAGUUGAGACAGGUGGUGCAUGGUUGUCGUCAGCUCGUGCC
This 295-nucleotide ribosomal RNA is filed under the name uncultured bacterium. Its description in RNAcentral is "partial 16S ribosomal RNA". It matches the Rfam family "Bacterial small subunit ribosomal RNA", at positions 775 to 1066 of the family's 1533-position model. The record is from RNAcentral.